UCGACUUGGAGGUUGUUCCCUUGAGGAGUGGCUUCCGGAGCUAACGCGUUAAGUCGACCGCCUGGGGAGUACGGCCGCAAGGUUAAAACUCAAAUGAAUUGACGGGGGCCCGCACAAGCGGUGGAGCAUGUGGUUUAAUUCGAUGCAACGCGAAGAACCUUACCUGGUCUUGACAUCCACAGAACUUUCCAGAGAUGGAUUGGUGCCUUCGGGAACUGUGAGACAGGUGCUGCAUGGCUGUCGUCAGCUCGUGUUGUGAAAUGUUGGGUUAAGUCCCGCAACGAGCGCAACCCUUAUCCUUUGUUGCCAGCGGUCCGGCCGGGAACUCAAAGGAGACUGCCAGUGAUAAACUGGAGGAAGGUGGGGAUGACGUCAAGUCAUCAUGGCCCUUACGACCAGGGCUACACACGUGCUACAAUGGCGCAUACAAAGAGAAGCGACCUCGCGAGAGCAAGCGGACCUCAUAAAGUGCGUCGUAGUCCGGAUUGGAGUCUGCAACUCGACUCCAUGAAGUCGGAAUCGCUAGUAAUCGUGAAUCAGAAUGUCACGGUGAAUACGUUCCCGGGCCU
Molecule: ribosomal RNA, 569 nt
Filed under: uncultured Gammaproteobacteria bacterium
Lineage: Bacteria; Pseudomonadati; Pseudomonadota; Gammaproteobacteria
Description: bacterial SSU rRNA
Rfam family: Bacterial small subunit ribosomal RNA
Source: RNAcentral